Molecule: long non-coding RNA, 763 nt
Filed under: Homo sapiens (human)
Lineage: Eukaryota; Metazoa; Chordata; Mammalia; Primates; Hominidae
Description: MAP3K9 divergent transcript
Source: RNAcentral
AGCGGCUGGAGAAGGCGCUGCGCGGGGUCACGUAGUUGCUGGGGAAGAUGCCCACCCGCUGGUUCAGCUGCCCGGUCCACCAGCCCUCGUCGCCGGACACCUGCGAGUCCUUGGACAGCACCUCCACCACGUCGCCCAGCCGCAGGGUCAGCUCGUCCUCGCCCGCCGCCUCGUACUCGAACACGGCCGUCCAGUAGGGCAGCGGCGCGUCGCAGCCCAGCUCCCCGGGGCCCACCGCCGCCGCCGCCUCCUCCUCCUCCUCCUCCUCCUCCUCGGCCCCGGCCCCUGCUCCAUCCUCCCCCGGCGGGGCGGCAGCGGCGGCGCUCGCUAGGCAGCCGAGAAGCGCUCUGGAGGGCUCCAUGGAGCGGCCGAUCCAUAGGGUGCGGGGCCGCCGCCGCCCGCAGGAGCCGCCGCCGCCUAUUGUUCAUGCGCCUCCGCAGAGCUGGGAGGACCCCCCCCCAACGACGGCGGCCGCAGCCUGGUUGCAGAGUGAGCCCAUGGGACAGCCCUCUGAAAUUAUACUGCUUACAACCAUGCUGAGUCUGCAAGGACUUCGUCCAAGCCUUUCCGUCCAGGACCUCAAACAGAUCCAAUCACAAGAAGAGAGAUUUCAGGAAAGAGAAAAUUAUUCCUAUCAUCGGGGUUUUUGAAGAACAUGAAAUGACUGGGAAAAUAAUCAUGUUAAGUGGAAAAAAAAAAGAAAUCUAUCUGUUGUAAUUUUCAAAUAAUUUUUAAAUAAAUUUGAAAAAUUAAGAGAACUAUA